Molecule: long non-coding RNA, 209 nt
Filed under: Prunus persica (peach)
Lineage: Eukaryota; Viridiplantae; Streptophyta; Magnoliopsida; Rosales; Rosaceae
Description: long non-coding RNA (PPER_LNC004637)
Source: RNAcentral
UGGGUUUUGAGUGAAAUCCAAUCUCUAGAACCAUACAACACACCAACCACUCCAUUUCAAAACGAACUUCAUACGAACCUGAAGGGUCCAAUUUCAUGGACCAAUCGAUCUCGGAUUGAGUCCGAAACCUGGGGAACAUCAUAAUGUAGUGGGAGGAGUCAUUUAGUGAGUUUUGAGGGAAAUCUAAUUGCCAAAACUAUGCAAUGCAC